UUAAAGUUUAUAGUAGACUGUUGUUUUACGGUGGUUUGUGUUCUGGGAACGGUUGCUGUUCAAUGGCGUAGUAUAUGGGUGAUAGCUGACUUGCUUCUUGCUCCCCAUAAUCCGAUCUAUUCAUCUUGGUUAUCCAUGGCCGCUGGAAACAUCUUCACCCUCCUAUUACUUGUAGCCCAAUGGCCACUCAUGCAGAUAGCUAAAACCUUAAAACGUAAAGAGACCAAAUUUUAUAUUUUACUUCUGAUAGAAGAUGUGAUGAGUUUAUGUGGAAAUGUUGCUGCGGUUCUAGUUUGGCGUGGGUUUUGGAAUCUACAGGAUCAGUUCUUGUUAAAAGACAUUCCAAAAAUGGUCUGGGCGUUACAUGUUGGAUCAGUUACAAUUCUCAUUCUCUUAUUGCAUUUCAAGACGGUGACAUUAGCAGGUGUGUGGACUGACGGGGACGUGAUCUUUAGUGGCGAGAAGAUAUUUUUCGAAACAAGGUUUAUAACCAGUUUCAUCAAACAUCGUGACCAACAGUCUGACAUGCCAGCUAAAACACUGGAUGAGAAAUGGAAUACGGACAAGCCAGGAGUCACGGCUAUAUCUUACAGCAGACGACGAGAGAAUACCUCAAAUAUAUCAGACGAUGCUAAGUUCUAAUAGGAAACUAAAUGUCAGUUGUGUUAAGCGCUAAACAAAUAUUUCCAUUUCAUGUUUUAAUGUAAUUGUAUAAGUCGUCGUGCAAUAUUAGCUUCACAAUAUACCAAAAAGGAAAAUAUGUAGGUUCAGUUCAAAGCACAUUAAAACGAUACCUAUCGAACAGCAUGUUGUCCCAUGUAAAAAAAAACAUUUAUUGGCAGUUGGGAUGAAAAGUAGGCGAAAACGCCGCAAUCCGAGCAAAAUACCCAUCAGUGUACAAUGCAUGGUGUAUUCCUGUCUUUGUUAUUUCGGUUGGUGCAGAAAAAUAGGAUGUAAAACCCCACUUCUUAUUAUAUGUUUUACGGGAGCCACGGUGGCUAACCAGAAGGUCGGGUGUUCGACCCCUGCGUUCAUCGGGAUUUACCGUCGUGGUUCCCUUUUGUCAGUGGUCUGGGAAGGAACGAUGUAUAGUCGUUCGGACGGUACGUUUAACCGAGGUCCCGUGUAGUACACAUUAGCAUGCACGUACAAUUUAGCAUGCACACACAAUUUCCCUCAUAGCACACUGUAUGGCGUUUACCCGUCUUCUUUAGCCCAGUCGGAGCAGAAAAAUAGGACGAAAAACCCCAUUCAAUUUCCAUUGUUUUAUAUAUUUAACACUAAAAUUGCUAUCAGCCCUUAUUUUUUGUAAAGCUGUAGUUUUAAAAAAAACAAUUAUUUUCCUGAUACAUCGAAGUCUUAGAAACCACAGUUGUUGUUACUUUUUUUUUUAAAUCCGUACAAUUUCUAGUUUUAUGUGUUCACUAAUCGUUUACGUAUCUUAAAAGACAAUGACUUUGAGGAAUCUAUUUUGCAUGGCUCAUGGUUGUGUUGAUUGGUAUAUUCGUGUCUCGACGCCGGUCACGAUAUCACUAUCUUAUACAUAAUAAAUUAUUAAUAAAUUAUCCAUUCCCGUUCUAACGAGCAGAUAUCUAUAGUGUCAAUGGUGGUAUAUGCCAGAUAACAUGGUCUACAAUCUGUAUGUUUUAUCCUUAUACCAUGGAUCCUUCAUAUUAAAUGGAUGCUUGUCGAUCACCCCCAAUGGACGCGUGGCGAUCAUUUGGAAUGCACGAUCAUCUCGGAUGAAAAUGGACUAUCAUCCACCAAGAAUAUACCACAUCUGGAAUGGAAGAGGGACGUACAAUGAACCUGCGUCUCGAAUGGGCGAUCUUCUGGAAUGUACGAUCGACCAACACCUAGAAUGUACGAUCGUCUGGAAUAUAUGUGCUUAACCCAUUAGUUCUAAUAGUUGACAUCUGUUGAUAACUGAUCUUAAAUCGUUCUUCUAAUCAUAUCCUGUGGCCACCACUUGGUGAUCUGUAUCCGUUGAGACCAUUGUCGUUGUCUCCUGUGUUAGUGUGGUAUCUCGAGAUCUAGUUAACUGAGCUUCAAAUGUAUUGUCGACUACUUCCACGGCAUAUGCAUCUGAAAGAUCAAAAUUGAAAUGUAUUUAAGGUAAAAUAGAAGAACCGGCUAUCAAAAUACGAAGUCAGUAAACAGAUUCAGCCCAUUCAAGCAAUAUCGCGUAAUGGAAAAACGUAGCAGGAGAUUAAGGAAGGAUAAUCCAAGACACGUUGAUUCACAAUUGUAAUAAAUAUUUCCCGCACUU
Patella vulgata (common limpet) is the source of this 2269-nucleotide long non-coding RNA. RefSeq lists it as uncharacterized. NCBI's taxonomy places the organism in Eukaryota, Metazoa, Mollusca, Gastropoda, Patellidae. The record is from RefSeq and is a predicted model, not a curated record. The transcript is spliced from 2 exons.